This 216-nucleotide ribosomal RNA is filed under the name Glomeromycotina sp. Its description in RNAcentral is "partial small subunit ribosomal RNA". The stretch from base 44 to 216 matches the Rfam family "Eukaryotic small subunit ribosomal RNA", at positions 690 to 864 of the family's 1831-position model. Lineage: Eukaryota; Fungi; Glomeromycota. The record is from RNAcentral.
GGGUCAGUAGGUUGGUCGUGCCACCGGUACGUACUGGUCUCACUGAUUCCUCCUUCCUGAAGAACCGUAAUGCCAUUAAUUUGGUGUUGCGGGGAAACAGGACUGUUACCUUGAAAAAAUUAGAGUGUUUAAAGCAAGCUAACGCUCGAAUACAUUAGCAUGGAAUAAUGAAAUAGGACGAUCGAUCCUAUUUUGUUGGUUUCUAGGAUUGACGUA